RNAcentral lists this ribosomal RNA (200 nucleotides) under uncultured Florenciella. RNAcentral's name for it is "partial Bacterial small subunit ribosomal RNA". It matches the Rfam family "Bacterial small subunit ribosomal RNA", at positions 92 to 309 of the family's 1533-position model. Lineage: Eukaryota; Dictyochophyceae; Florenciellales. The record is from RNAcentral.
AGAGUGGCGAAAGGGCGAGGAAUAUAAUCGAAUGUACCCCAAGGUGAAGGAUAGCUUCUGGAAACGGAAGGUAAUACUUCAUGUGCUCUACGGAGGAAAGGUUUACCGCCUUGGGAGCGGCGAUUAUCCUAUCAGGUAGUUGGUGAGGUAAAGGCUCACCAAGCCGAAGACGGGUAGCGGGUGUGAGAGCAUGACCCGCC